CAAGCUCUCUUUGCCUGCUGCCACCCAUGUAAGACGUGACUUGCUGCUCAUUGCCUUCUGCCGUGAUUGUGAAGCUUCCCCAGCAACGUGGAACAGUUGUCUCUUCACUCUGCUGAUUGUGUAUUUUGCUGUUCAGAAGCUUUUCAGUUUGAUACAGCCUCACUCGCUCAUUCAGGGCCCCCGAGUAGAAUGGGAGAGCUCCAGAUGCAACUGACUAACUGAAGAUGUCACAAAGGCUGAAUCUUCUAUGCUACACUUUGGAUCACUAGAAGGACCAGAGUGUAGUCAACGAUGUGUAAACAACUGAGAAAAACUUUUCUCUGGAAACAACUGUGAUUUUGAAAUUCAGUGGUUUCUUCUUUCUAGCUGAGAAACAUUGAGCAAGUCACUGCAAUAACAUGGAAUCCAGCUGCUUUAUCUGGUGAAUUAGGAUAAUUCAUAGUGUACAACUAGGAUUACAAUUAAUUUAUCAGUUAAUAUUGCUGCAAAGAAAAUCAUUCUAUAAGUUAAUGGCUUAAAACAACGAUUAUUUAAUACACUUUUUCUCUGUGGGUAAACCGUGUGGUUUCUCUAGUCUGGGUUAGUUAGUUUGGGCUUGGAUGACUUAGAAUGUUCUCAGUCACACAUCUCUGGCCUCUGCUGGGGUGUCUGGGAAAGCUGAACUCCUUGUUUUCAUGGGCUGUCACUCCGGGAGUUAGCUUAAGGUUAUACUUAUGAUAGAAAAGUUCCCAGAAGCAAAAGCGAGUCAGCCUUAAUGUGCAAGCACUUCUUAGCAACCUGCUUCCAUUAGGGUUGCUAAAAUCCCGUAGGCUGAAGUAAGUCAUAGGACCAAGCAGAAAUGAGGUGGGAAAAUAAACUCAUUUUCUUCACAGGAGCAGCCUCAAAAAGUUUGUGGUCACAAACUCUUCACUUUUUUUUUUUUUUUUUUUGCAGUUUCCAACAGGGUAGAUUUGAGUAUUAGUGAAAAUGAAUGCAAAGUGUUUGUCAUGUAGUAAGAACUAAAUACAUUUUAUAAUUGUUAAUGUGUUUUACCAGCCAUACUUUUUAUCAUCCUAUGAUUUAACAAACAUGCAUUAAGAAAAUGUGUGGGUAAGGCUGCUUCAAUUAUAAUCACUUGAGUCCUUUAAGGUUCUGCUUAUGUUAUACAGGAUAUAGAAAGUCAUCCCAACAUACUGACUGUCUCAAAUGUAUUUUGUUUUGGAUUUCCCAACUAUAUCACAGCCUGUUACGAACACUUAGUUACAUAAGUACAUUCCAUCUUAUGUCUUCAUUUACUUAUUUCAUGACUUAAGUUUUAUACCAACUCCUCCCUAGUUAGAUUUUAAUCCCGUUGAGUAAAAAGAGGGAUUAUAUUUAUCUGACAUAAUUAGGACUACCUAGUACAGCAUUGGAUCUGAAUUUUAGAUUCUAAACAAGAAUAUUAAUAUCAACUUCCCAACUCUAUUAUAUAUACCACUGCAUUCAAUAUAUACCAAUCUAGUACAGUUAACAUCGUAGGUAGCAUUGUGACAUGAGCCCUCAAAUAGGUAGACAAUCCUGGGAUUGAGUACUGGGUCUAUGAAUAGCUUUGUGACCAUGGACAAUAGUAAGCUUCUCUGAGCUUGUUUUCUGUUAUAGCAAGAAGAAAAAUAUAUUUUAUAAU
Molecule: long non-coding RNA, 1642 nt
Organism: Homo sapiens (human)
Lineage: Eukaryota; Metazoa; Chordata; Mammalia; Primates; Hominidae
Exons: 3
Source: RefSeq, a predicted model, not a curated record